RNAcentral lists this ribosomal RNA (565 nucleotides) under uncultured fungus. RNAcentral's name for it is "SSU rRNA". It matches the Rfam family "Eukaryotic small subunit ribosomal RNA", at positions 194 to 755 of the family's 1831-position model. The record is from RNAcentral. Lineage: Eukaryota; Fungi.
GGAAGGGGUGUAUUUAUUAGUAAAACCAACCGGGGUUUUUCCCGUUCCCUUGGGUGAUUCAUAAUACUUCUCGAAAUCGCAUGGCCUUUGUGCCGGCGAUGCUUCAUUCAAAUAUCUGCCCUUAUCACUUUGGAAUGGUAGGAUAGAGGCCUACCAUGGUUUCAACGGUAACCGGGGAAAUAAGGGUUCGAUUCCGGAGAGGGAGCCUGAGAAACGGGCUACCCACAUCAAGGAAGGCAGCAGGCGCGCAAAUUUACCCAAUCCCGACACGGGGAGGUAGUGACAAUAAAUAACAAUAUAGGGCUCUUUCGGGUCUUAUAAUUGGAAUGAGUACAAUUUAAAUCCCUUAACGAGGAACAAUUGGAGGGCAAGUCUGGUGCCAGCAGCCGCGGUAAUUCCAGCUCCAAUAGCGUAUAUUAAAGUUGUUGCAGUUAAAAAGCCCGUGGUUGAACUUCAGACCUGGCUGGGUGGUCCGCUUAACGGCGUGUACUGUUCGGCUGGGCCUUACCUCUUGGUGAGCCAGCGUGCCCUUUAUUGGUGUGCGUUGGGGAACCAGGACUUUUAC